AGUGAACGCUGGCGGUAGGCCUAACACAUGCAAGUCGAACGGCAGCACAGUAAGAGCUUGCUCUUACGGGUGGCGAGUGGCGGACGGGUGAGGAAUACAUCGGAAUCUACUUUUUCGUGGGGGAUAACGUAGGGAAACUUACGCUAAUACCGCAUACGACCUACGGGUGAAAGCGGGGGAUCUUCGGACCUUGCGCGAUUGAAUGAGCCGAUGUCGGAUUUGCUAGUUGGCGGGGUAAAGGCCUACCAAGGCGACGAUCCGUAGCUGGUCUGGGAGGAUGAUCAGCCACACUGGAACUGAGACACGGUCCAGACUCCUACGGGAGGCAGCAGUGGGGAAUAUUGGACAAUGGGCGCAAGCCUGAUCCAGCCAUACCGCGUGGGUGAAGAAGGCCUUCGGGUUGUAAAGCCCUUUUGUUGGGAAAGAAAAGCAGCAGGUUAAUACCCCGCUGUUCUGACGGUACCCAAAGAAUAAGCACCGGCUAACUUCGUG
This 492-nucleotide ribosomal RNA is filed under the name uncultured bacterium. RNAcentral describes it as "partial 16S ribosomal RNA". It matches the Rfam family "Bacterial small subunit ribosomal RNA", at positions 29 to 507 of the family's 1533-position model. The record is from RNAcentral.